UUAAAAAUCGUAACAAGGUUUCUGUAGGUGAACCUGCAGAAGGAUCAUUAGUGAAGAUUUGGGCAGGCCAUACGGACGCCAAAAAGUGUCCCUGGCCGCCUACACCCACUAUACAUCCACAAACCCGUGUGCACUGUCUUGGAGAAAGGCUUCAGAGAAGUUUUUUGUGGCCUCUCUUGGGGUCUUUCUUCGCUACAAACUCGAAUGGUUAGUAUGAACGUGGAACUUGGUUGGACCGUCACUGGCCAACAAACUAUACACAACUUUCGACAACGGAUCUCUUGGUUCUCCCAUCGAUGAAGAACGCAGCGAAACGCGAUAGGUAAUGUGAAUUGCAGAAUUCCGUGAAUCAUCGAAUCUUUGAACGCACCUUGCGCUCUAUGGCAAUCCGUAGAGCAUGCCUGUUUGAGUGCCAUGAAAUCUCCCACCCCAAGCGGUUUUUAAAUGAAACGGCUUGGCGGAUGGGGUCUGGAUGGGUGCCUCUGCCUGCGCUACCUAGCACAGGCUCGCCCGAAAUGCAUGAGCGCCUUGAGACACUUUGCAUCCGCCUCUCUGUUUGGGAGGAGGCGGCCAAGCAGUGUUUUUCUCCUGGCAUGGCAUGAUACGUCAUUUGCUAUGUCGCCUAAAGGAGGAAUGUUUGGUUGUGUCUGCGUGUGCUUCGAACUUGCCUCUGUGGCACAUCCCAAUUUCACUUCUGGUCUCAAAUCAGGUAGGAUCACCCGCUGAACUUAAGCA
RNAcentral lists this ribosomal RNA (735 nucleotides) under Malassezia restricta. Its description in RNAcentral is "eukaryotic LSU rRNA". The stretch from base 262 to 415 matches the Rfam family "5.8S ribosomal RNA". Lineage: Eukaryota; Fungi; Basidiomycota; Malasseziomycetes; Malasseziales; Malasseziaceae. The record is from RNAcentral.